RNAcentral lists this ribosomal RNA (253 nucleotides) under uncultured bacterium. RNAcentral's name for it is "partial 16S ribosomal RNA". It matches the Rfam family "Bacterial small subunit ribosomal RNA", at positions 524 to 776 of the family's 1533-position model. The record is from RNAcentral.
UACGAAGGGGGCGAGCGUUGUUCGGAUUUACUGGGCGUAAAGGGCGCGCAGGCGGCGCAUUUUGUCAGGCGUGAAAGCCCCGGGCUUAACCUGGGAACUGCGUUUGAUACGGAUGGGCUAGAGUUCGGGAGAGGAGAGUGGAAUUCCCAGUGUAGAGGUGAAAUUCGUAGAUAUUGGGAAGAACACCGAUUGCGAAGGCAGCUUACUAAACAACUAUUGACGCUGAGGCACGAAAGCGUGGGGAUCAAACAGG